GGCCUACACCAGAGCCACAGCAACACAGGAUUGGAGCCGCGUCUGCAACCUACACCACAGCUCAUGGCAAUGCCGGAUCCUUAACUCACUGAGUGAGGCCAGGGAUUGAACCCACAACCUCAUGGUUCCUAGUCGGAUUCGUUAACCACUGAGCCAUGACGAGAACUCCUAAUGAAAUUUAAUUUAUGAAGAUUUCAAAGUUGUCUUAAUAGACUGGAUAAGGUAUUUCUAGAUAGCAGUCUUUUUCAUUUUUAAAAUAUUUGAGACCACCAAUUUUUUUGUCUUAAAAUUUGAAUCUUCCUUGGUUUAUCAAUAGAACUUUCAGGUUUCUUUCUCUUUUCUGAACUUGACCUCUCUCUCCUGUUUCCUCAUUCCUCCUUCUCCUUUCUCCUUCUGACUGUAUUUAUUUCAACAGCUGAAGUCUUAGACAUCUGUCCUUAUCUUGAUUGCUGUCCUUGACUCAAUUCUGGCCCACACCAUCAAAGAUACUUUGAGUAGGAUGACUGCCUAUUCAAAUUCAGCAAGAAUAAAACUCAGCAUACAAUCUCCUACAGCCUUCAACUGGCUUACUCCCCCAUUUCUCGAUUUCUAAUAAUUAUUUUUUCCAUCAAAAUUCCAGUCAUAUAUACUCAAAAUCUCAGAAUCAUCUUCAGCUCCCCUUUAUCCUUCUUAUUUGAUUAGUUAAUAAUUUCUACUCUUACUGCUCUUAAAUACGUUGAUUAUUAUCUGUAUAUAUCCCUACAUCUCUAUUCUAAUAUGUUAACACUCAAAGGCAAGAACUCUUCCUUGUAAGUUUGAACAACAGCUUCAUUUCUCCUCAUGUAUGCACUCCCUUAAUCCUUCAAUGUCUACUAUCAUGCUAUUUGCAGAAUUUAAAAACUUGGGUUUAGGAGUUCCCAUUGUGGCUCAGCAGAAAUGAAUCUGACUAGCGUUCAUGAAGACACAGGUUCAAUCCCUGGCCUUGUUCAGGAGAUUAAGGAUCCAACACUGCUGUGAGCUGUGGUGUAGAUCACAGACGUGGCUCGGAUCCUGAGUUGCUGUGGCUGUGGUGUAAGUCAGCAGCUACAGCUCCAAUUUAACCCCUAGCCUGAGAACCUCCAUAUGCCAUGGUGCAGCCUUAAAAAGACAAAUAAAAAUAAAAAUAAAAUAAAAACUUUAGGGUUUAAAUUAUAAAAUCCAACAGUGUUAUAUCAAUUUUCAAGUCCCUCCAUGAUCUGAUUAUAUUUGCUUUAGAUUCUUAUUAAAGACUUUUGAACUAAGGGGAAAGGGAAGAAAAGAAAGGAUAAGAAGAAAAGGGAAAGAAGAAAAGAAGAAAUGGAAGAGAGGAAAAUGAAAAAAAAAUAAAAGAAAGAUAUUUUUGUUGGAAAUGACAGACACCAACCUCAAAAUAAAUUAACCACAGACAUAAAAUUGCUGACACAUAUAACUAGGAAUGUAAGAGCUGAAUCUGGCUUCAGGAGAGCUGGAGCCAGGGUUUUACAUGAUAUCAUUAGGACAUCAUGUCUUUCUCUAUUUCACAGCCCUGUUUUCCUCAGUAUCUGCUUUAUUUUAUGCCAGGGUCUCUGUAAAAAGAUGGAAAAGAUCUACACCAGUUUAGCCGGCUCAUUUAGAUAGCACAGGCAAAUUUUCAUCAUUAACUCUAACUGGCUCACACUGGAUCUUGUGCCCAAUUCUGAACCAAUCACUGUGACCAAAGACAGGCGGUACAUUCCUUAAGCAGAUCUGGGAUACAUCCUCAUCCCUGGAGCUGGGUAGUGUGAGCCCUACUAAACCAAAUGGAUGAGACAUGGGGAGAGGAGACUUUCCAAAGAGAUUCUGACAUGGCAUAAUGAAUAUUUAUGUAAGACAAACUAAAUUGAAAGAGCUAGUGAGCAGGAUAAUCUACUAACCUGAAAUGGCCAAUUCUGCUAACCAUCCAUUGGUGAGAUCUUGUCAAGCUAAUUCAGUGUCCUUUCACUUUCUUUCACAACAAAUGGGCAUAGAACUAAUUCCACCAGCUGCUCCCACAAAAACAAGAUCCUCAGAUGAACCUUGGCAGAGUAAUGCCAACAUCGCAAAUGGCAAAAGUUUAUGGAGUUCAGUAUGAGGCUUACACUAAAGUUCUUCACAACAUAAAUUUGUAUAAAUAUGGAGCUUUUGAUUUUAAAGCACUUCCAUGUUGUCUAAAUUAAUAUAAGUAAGACCACCAUGAAAUACACAGUUUUUCAUUUAACACAUAAUGCUUUGUUUCUCAGGCCAUAGUAAAAGAUAGUCCCCUG
Molecule: long non-coding RNA, 2258 nt
Filed under: Sus scrofa (pig)
Lineage: Eukaryota; Metazoa; Chordata; Mammalia; Artiodactyla; Suidae
Description: lncRNA (ENSSSCG00050029645.1)
Source: RNAcentral